Molecule: long non-coding RNA, 423 nt
Filed under: Numida meleagris (helmeted guineafowl)
Lineage: Eukaryota; Metazoa; Chordata; Aves; Galliformes; Numididae
Description: lncRNA (ENSNMEG00000006856.1)
Source: RNAcentral
ACUCAUUAGAGUGAUUCCACGCUUCUUAAUACCCACUGGGAUUGCUUUAUUAUUUGAUAGAGUCAACAGUUGGCAUAUGCCAGAGUGUCUUUGUAUUCAGCUCCCUCAAAACCUCUGAAGACAGCUGAACAAAGGAAAUGAAUAACCAGCUUUGUUUCCCUCUCUCUCCCAAGAUUUCUUAAUGUUGACACCAGUGACUCCUUAACAUCACCGCUAAAGGAUCUCUUUAUCAGCCCUCUCCCACAGGCUUCUGAAGCAGAUGAGAAUGAGUUGGAGAACCAGGAGAACUUCCUCUUCUAGUCCUGGAGUGAAACGAUGAGGUAUAUUCAUCUAAGUUCUUGAAAGCUAAGGUGUAAAAAGAGGUUUGGAAAGCCAACGUUGACACACUUCAAGAGGUGGUGGAUUCAUCAUAUUCCCUGAGGA